This 399-nucleotide ribosomal RNA is filed under the name uncultured bacterium. RNAcentral describes it as "bacterial SSU rRNA". It matches the Rfam family "Bacterial small subunit ribosomal RNA", at positions 976 to 1375 of the family's 1533-position model. The record is from RNAcentral.
UGGGCUCGAAAUGGAGUGGACAGGAGUAGAAAUAUUCCCUCCCCGCAAGGGGCUGCUCUAUAGGUGCUGCAUGGCUGUCGUCAGCUCGUGUCGUGAGAUGUUGGGUUAAGUCCCGCAACGAGCGCAACCCUUAUUACCAGUUGCCAUCAUUAAGUUGGGCACUCAGGUGAGACCGCCUCGGAUAACGGGGAGGAAGGCGGGGAUGACGUCAAGUCCUCAUGGCCUUUAUGUCCAGGGCUACACACGUGCUACAAUGGCCGGUACAAACCGUCGCAAACCCGUGAGGGGGAGCUAAUCGGAAAAAGCCGGCCUCAGUUCGGAUUGUAGUCUGCAACUCGACUACAUGAAGCUGGAAUCGCUAGUAAUCGCGGAUCAGAAUGCCGCGGUGAAUACGUUCCC